GUGCUUGGUUUUGCAGCACAUAUACUAAAAUUUGAAAGACACAGAGAAGGUUAGCAUGGUCCCUUUCAAGGAUGACACGCAAAUUCGUGAAGCAUUCCAUAUUUUU
Small nuclear RNA from Jaculus jaculus (lesser Egyptian jerboa), 106 nucleotides. The record is from Ensembl. Lineage: Eukaryota; Metazoa; Chordata; Mammalia; Rodentia; Dipodidae.